Molecule: long non-coding RNA, 21489 nt
Organism: Mus musculus (house mouse)
Lineage: Eukaryota; Metazoa; Chordata; Mammalia; Rodentia; Muridae
Product: predicted gene, 32657
Exons: 3
Source: RefSeq, a predicted model, not a curated record
GGCAGAUUCUCUUCCCUACACGUGACAAGUCAUAAAGUGAAGUUUAUCUACGUGUCUUAUACUGUUACUAUUCACAUAUUUUUUCCUUCUGUUUCAAUUUUUCUUCCUCCAAUUUCUGUGCUCAAAUGAAUGUUCUUAAGGCACAAUGCAGGUGUUUGUAGGUCCUUUGUUUUCUCUACGUGGCACUCCUUCAGAUCCUCAUUUAUUACUGUUAACACGAGAGUCAUUUCUAUUGUGCUGUUAGUACCUCAAGGAAUAUGGGCAGUUUUGUGUGUCUUUGCAAUCCCAUCACACACAGUGAACACCUAAUUAAGGUUUAUGGAAUAGAUCAAGGUUCAUGGUAUCCCUUAGAGUCUCUUCUACAGAAGCAUGGGCUCCUCUAGCUCUAGCAACCGUCCUAGAACCUAUACAGCGAGGGCUAGGAUGAUCAGCUAAUAUUGAGAGAACUUACUCUGAUGUGAUGCUGCUCAGAAACUAAGGUACUGUAGGUAUAAAGUGAAAAACACCAAAAGAAGGAUAAUCAGGAAACUAACAUCAUACUUCCAGAACAAUGAUUAAAUAGGAAUUGUUUACAUAAGGCACCAUGAAUUAAAAUGAAAAUACUAUCUAUUCCAAUAAUACUGCAUAAGUCUUCUAACAACAGAUAAUUAUGAUAAGUCAGAGAAGACAAGUUCUUUGUUGCUUCUCCCACUAAGAUGUGAAGUCUGAUUAAAGGUCAUGUGAUUUUCAGUGGCCUAAAGCAAAAAGCACAAUGCAAGUUGGCAGAUACCUUCCAGCCCCUGCCUCGGUCCCUUGGAAUGUCUCUUCUUAGAAUGCCUAUACUCUGAACCCAGCCACUGGGUUGUGAGAAAUCCAAGGCUCAUAAAGAGGGGAAGAUGUAUGCUGCUUUAUUAAUCCCAGCAAAUGCCUGACUGACAGUCAUCUCCAGUGAGGAGCAGACUUAGUCUUGUCAAGCUUCCACCACUGACUUCUGACUGCAGUCACAUAACAGCCUGGGCAGGCUUUCAGAUUCAUGACUCACAAAAUAGGAUGGAAUAAUUUUUAUACAAUUAAAUGAUAUGUUUGCUACAUAGCAGUGGAGAGGAAAGCAAUAAAUACAUAUAGACAUUGACCAAAGGGUGACUUGGUAAGAAGAAAUAAUUGUAGCAAAAACUGGGCUGUGCUGCUUAUAUCACACUUCAAAAAGGAAGUGAUUUCCAAUUGCAAGGGACAAAGCUGCUAGUUUGUAGCCUUCCUCUGUCUAGGAGCUCUCUCAUUUAUGUGCACGAACUCACUUUUGGGUAGCAUUGAAAUUAUAUAAGCAUAGAAACUGACUUUGCCUUCUGUUUCCUUUAUGGUUAAAGUUGAGAAAUUUUGAAGUGGGUUAUUGUAACAGUAAAGAGAGAGGGAAGGAAGGGGAGACUACCAAUCAGUUCAUCGUUUUUAAAUGGAAUUUAAUAACCUAUUGCAUUCUGCUCCUCGAUCAAUCUCACAUUUAGAGUAUUAUUUGCCCUUUCUUUGACAGUUGACGUUACCAGUCCUGGGAGAGAGAGGACUGUCCUGAGAAGGACAGGACACUUCUGUUUAAAUAUUUGAAGAAUUCAGAGGAGUGAGAUUUAUUACAGUGAAAACAGCUAUCACAGCAACAGGGUGGAGAUUGCUCACUAUGACUGAAAACUGAGCACUGAAAAAUGGGCUUGAACUUUCUGAAGAAUUGUUCAAAGAGGCAGUGGGCUGCUUUGGUGGGUGAGGUACCAUGUGCCACCAGGGAAAGUCAAGCCUAGACCUGACGCUUACAUAUUUGAGAAGGCAUUAGAGGAAUCCAAGAAAUUCUUUAAAGCAGCUGUGCAAAAAUAUAUGAAAGAAACAGAUUGGCAAAUGUGAAGACAUUUCAAGAGUCCCUGUCCCCUCAACUAUAAAUAUGACAGGAAUUACACCACUGAAACCAGAUGUUAGCCCUGGCGCCUGGGUUGUAAGGUAGAAAGCUCAGCUCAUGCCUUUAUUGCUUUCUAAUAAAGCCAACCAAGCUUAAAAUAACCUCGUGGCUACUUUAGCAAAGACUAAUAGAGGAAAUUACACUAGUGAGAAGCUAAUAACGCAGACAGGAUGAUCUGAGACAUCUUCAGAUGAAGAUGGUGGAUGCUGAGUUCCUAACUGAGGGGAUUAAAGCUCUUUUCUUAGGAAGGGUUUAGGGAAUUUAUCAGUAGGGGGCAUUGGUGCACUAUCAGUGGAAGAAUCCACCGCAGGCACUGAGUGUGCUUGGUAAUUCUGAGCACUUCAAAACAAUCAACAAAGCCAAGCAGAUAGGGAAACCAUUUUUCUUACAAAAAAAAAAUGAGCACAGAUAUAUCAUCUGUUGAGAGUGAAAUUUUAGGAAAUGAAAGCAAAGCAUUGUAUAUUUGUUGUUGUUUUUUUUUCAAGAUAAAUGAAAGAUGCUAGAGGCAUACAUUUUUUUUUUCCUUGAGAGUAAGACUAAUAUCAUAGUGGCUGCAGAUUCAGCAUUUCUGAUUUCAGGAAUUGAGAAAAGAGCUGAGUCUGCAGGGCAGGGAGCGAGCAUCUGUAAUGUUGAGGACUCCCACGGAAGGGUAAGGAAUGUGAGUAUGUUAGUGAUGUCCCCAGGGGAACAGAUGCUGGUCUCUGCUUGUCUAACUUCCCUUAGACCAGGGUAGGCAAAGUCAUACAGGUGUAAAAGUAGCUUUUUUUUCUCCUGUAGUAAAUGCCUCUGAGGCUUACUGCUUCGAUCAGCUAACCUAGAUCUAGUCCUGGAAGCUUCUAGACAAACUUAUCUAGGCCUAGAUAAUUUUCAACCUCUCAGAAUUGCUGCUGAAUUCUUUCUGAACUCUGGCUAACUGGUUCAACUCAACUAUUCUGGUUCAAACUCCUCUCUAAGCUGACUGAUUCAAUCUGGCUUCUCUCUCUCUCUCUCUCUCUCUCUCUCUCUCUCUCUCUCUCUCUCUCUCUCUCUCUCUCUCUCUGCCUCUCCUGAAUUGCUCUGCUUGGCCUCAUAUUGACUUUGGUAAUAUGUUCUAAUCUUCUGGCUCCGUCUCAUUCUCUAGCUGUUAAGUCUUCACCUGUGGCUAGCUUGUACUCGCUCUGUAACCUGUCUCUCUAUCACUGUCCCAGUAAAACGGCCUCUUUCUCUCUCUCGCCUCUCUUUUUAUACUUCUCUCUUCUUUUUUCAUUAAUUCAUUCAUUCAUUCAUUCAUUCAUUCAUUUAUUCACUUUACAACCCCAAUAUUAGGCCCCCUAUUUUCCCAGUCUCCUACUCUCACAGCUCCUCCCUCCAUUUCCCUCCUCUUCUGUGAGAAGGGGACCCCCUGGGAAUUACAGCCCCCAUAUGGCACAUCAAGUCACUUCAAGACUAAGUGCAUCCUCUCUCACUGAGGGCAAAUAAGGCAGCUCACUUAAGGAAUUGGGGUUCACAGGCAGGCACUAGAUUCAGUGACAGCACCUGCUCCAGUUGUUGGGGGACCCAUACGAAGAACAAGCAGUAUAUCUGCUACAUAUUGCACUACACCCAGAAGUAGCUUCCCUUUUGUUUCUCUUCUUAUGAGAGUUGAGCAUAUCAUAUUUUGUCAAAUAUUUUUCUGAUUUGUCACUUUGUCUGCCACUCAAUUAGACAUCACCUUCAAACAUGAGUUCUUCCUUCUAAACACGACUUUUACCUUCAUUGUUUGGGGUUAAAAAUAUGUGCUAAGACUAAGCUGAUUUACAACUAGAAAUGGGGUUUUCCAGUAAAUAACAUAAUCUUGGGGCUGACCGUGUGAUCAAAUAUCCUAUAACAGGAUACAAUACAGGAGUCCUAUACAGGAAUGACGUGAAUGGUGUAAAACUGAAAACUUGCAGCUUUGUAAUGUACAGAAUAGGAGUGUCACCCUUUUCCUGCCAUCUGCCAUGGGUGAGACGUUUCUUCAAUACUCACACCAUUUCCCAAGUCCAUCACAACAGAAAUGUGAUAGGUAGGUACAAUUAUGUAUGAAUUAUUACAUUUUAUAGAAAACCAUGAUUUUCCAGAUUCUUUGACCUCUACCCUCAAAUAAUUUCAUAUUACAGAAGUUAUCAUCUUGAGGCAAUAAAAUUUGAGAGCUGAGAGAACAAGACAGAAAGAUCCAUUAAAAUAUACACAUCCUGAUUUCUCUGAUCCAACUCUGUGAGAAGCAGCCUUGAUUUAGUAUGCACUGGUGAAGACUUUCUAAGUGGAUUUGCUUCAACUGUUGGUGCUAUCCUCUGAACUUUUGGCAUAUAUCUUUCUAGUUUACUGACACAAUCACAUGUUCAUAAAUACACAUAUUUCAACUUAAUACGUUGUUGAAGAAUUCAUCUAAGAUAUAAAACUUUUAUUUAUUUAUCUAUCUACCUAUCUAUUUAUUUAUUUAUUUAUUUAUUUAAAAGAAAAUACUCUUUGAGAUGGACAGGUGGAAAGUAAACCCUGAGGACAUAGAUUUGUAGGGACAAGAUAACGAAAGGAGGCCAUUUUUUUUCUGUAUUUUUAAUGCUCUGAAAUUUGAUACGGGAAAAUGAAGAGGAAGGAAGAGUAAGAGAGAUGGUUCCUUGGGGUAAGAAAGGCAGAAAACUUUCCAGAUAACACAAGACUUAGAACUCAAAUAUCUAAUUAUGAAACUUUAACUUAUUUAUUAGAUUGUAAGGGAGAGAUCCUUUUGCUUCAUGUUUUUUAAAAGUAACUGAAGUUUGUGAAUGGGUUUGUUUAUGGAUAAAGAACUGCUCAAAACAGUAAGGCAAAGCAAGCCCCACACUGAUGGUAAAAGGACAAGAAUGAAAACUUCAAUAGCAGAGAAGUUCAGAGAGACAGCAUAGCGACUACACUGAAUGCACAGGAUCAGGAGAACGAAACAGAGCAAACGGUGCCAGCAUAAGGCCUUCUAUUUCUUCUCUGCCAACUGCCUCUCCCACUAGAGUCCAAAUGAUGAACAGGACUCUGGACUUCUGAGGGUCUAGAAGGGAGGGUGACUCAAUAUUACAGUGAUUGAAAGGGUCAAACAGAUUUAGCCAAGGUUGUUGUUAGACAAUGAUGUCCUAAAAAUAACUUGAACGAUCCUUUUAAAUUUCUGGUCUUGCCUUCCUUAUAGGGUCCACAACAAAGUUGUAUAGGUAUAUUCCUGAAUAAUAGGGUCCUGAGAUUAUGUUUCUGACUCCUGUCUUAAUCUACUUUACUAUAACAAAGUAACCUGAAACCAGGUAAUUUAUAGUCUACUGGACCUCAACCCUGGAGUCUGGGGAGUCCAAUAUCAAGGCAUUAGUAUCUAGGCAAAAAAGGCCAACUCUUCCUUUUAUGUUACCAAUCCCAGCUAUGGAGGGCACUUAAGGCCUAUUUACUUCCUAUAAGUAGUGUUGAGGUUGAUAUGCUAAUGUAGUUUGAAUCUCUCUGUAAAGUCAUAGGUGCAUUUUGGUAACCAGUGAACUAGGGAAAUGAUUAUAAAACUAAUAUCAUUCCAGGAUUGAAGAGAUUACCCAGUAGUUAAGAGUGCUGGCUGCUCUUCCAGAAGGCCUAGGUUCAAUUCUCAGCACUCACAUGAUUGGUCAUAAUGUUCUGUAAUUCCAAUCUCAGGAGAUCUGAUUUCUCCUGGCCUCCCCUGGCAUGCACAUGGUGCAAAACAGACAUUUAUGCAGACAAAGCACUCAUACACAUAAAAUAAAAAUAAAUAAAAAUUCACACACCCACAAAUUAAUAUCAUUCCAUAGUAGAAGCACCCCUGAAUGGUAUAGAACAUGCAUUUAUAUUUUAGAGCAGAGUUUCACUCAGUUUCUCCUGAGAUCCUUGGUGUGUGUGUGUGUGUGUGUGUGUCUAAGAGUGUGGUGUGUGUACCUUAGGUCUAUGGACAAAUCACCAACAUUUUGUAGUGCCUCAGUUUCUUUCUUUAAGAAAAGGAGUGUCAAGAAUACUCAUACAACUCAAAGAAAGCACCAAGAACAGGAAUUUAGGGGCUUAGACGCUCUGUGAGCUCACUGCAGGUCAAGACACUCAUCUACUGGAAUGUUAUAGCUCACCUGGGACAGACAUGCUGCUUCCUGGGGGUUCUCAGCGAUACUUCUAGGCCCAAAGAGGAAGCUUCGGAAAACAAGUUAUUUCAAAAACAAAACAAAACAAAACAAGCAAGCAAACAAACAAACAAAAAACCAAAGCAGUGCCAUAAAAGCUGGCUUUCCACAAAUCAGAGUAUCUUCCUGUCACUAACUGGAUCUACAUAAGAGGUUUGUUUAUUUACUGGUGACUCCACCUAGAUCUUCCUCCAGGUCUGGGUCCUUCUGACCUACAUUGUGUAUGAUCUUUUUAUCUACCCUUUUCUGUCUAAUGCUUUAAAGAUUACAUUUCAACUAUGGCACAGUUUGAUGAUCAAACAUAGAACCUUGGAAGCAGAAUAUUAAACUUGUAAAACUGAAAGUAAGAGAAUGAGAGAAAUCCAAAAACGGUCAGUCAUGAGUCAGAAGAACUGGCAUCUCUUGUUCCUAGAGGAACAAGAGGGGAAAAAAAUCCUACUCUACUCACAAGUAGAUCAACAGAGUCAGAACACUAGAAAGAGAGUGGGUGAUAGCUGCACCUUUCUCUAAAGUAAUUGUUUUAAUGUGGUAACACAAAGGAAUCAAUGCUUGUGUGUGUGUAAGUGUGUGUUUUGUGUGAGUGUGGUGCAUGUAUCUGUGUGUUCCCGAAAGCACACUGAGGGUCCGUCCAACUGAUGUCUUCAUCAACCUCACUUUUUUCCCUUUGUAUUUAUUUCUUUAAGACAGAAUCUCAUUAUAUAGCUGAGGUUGACCUUGAACUCAAAGUACUCCUGUCUCAGCUUUCUGAGUGCCAGAGUUCCAGGUGUGUGUACCACCAUGCUAGGUUCAUAUCUACACCUUCUCGAGGCUAAGAAUUCUUUAGUUGCCUUUUGUAGUCACAUUUGCAAAGCACUGGUCAGAUAUGGGAGAAACAAUGUCAACAGUGUUGUUCCACAAUGAAAAACAGUUGUGGUAAGACCAAAAUAAUCAAUAGCAAAACUGAGGUAUUUUAUAAAGCACUGUGGAAUCAGUCUCAACAUUUAUUUCUGAAGUGCCUGGGAAAAGUAAACUCUUGCAAUUGACAAAUUUAAUUAACUUCCUGCCUAUGGCUUAAGCUGUUUGGGAGCAGAAAGAAAACAAAACUGUGGCCUGUUGCUCGGUCAGGAGCUUGGCCUGAUGCUUGGUCAGGAGCUAGCAGGCGAUGGUUGGCUCCUGAAUCACAGACUUUUCCCGUUUUCCUUACGGAGUACCUUCUCCUAUUCCUCCUUCCCUCCCUUCAGCGAUCAUGGCAGUCAGAUGAUGAAACUUGCAAGAGUUGUGGAGUUGCUGGCUUGGGAGCUGGCCAGUGCAAAUCCUUGCUCUUCUGGGGCAGCUGUGUGGGUUUCUCUGCCUUUUCAAAACUCAGUAAAACAGGGAGGAUAAUUUCUAAUGUGGGCAAAGGAAAAAUAUCAAAAUGAUAUUGGCACUGAUACUACCAAUGGCCUCCUGCUGAGAAACACUUGGGCCACAGACACUUCCAACUCUUCCCUACAGCUCCUUUUAAUGCAGUAGGUGCAGGGUGGAACAGGAAAGGAUAGCGAACACAGCAGUAUUUACAGUAAAACUAAAUGGAAAUUCAGAGCAGAGAGUCAUGUGAAAGAAAAAGAUAAAACUUUCUUUAAAACAUGAAGGACAACCCCAUAGGAAGACCAGCAGUCUCAACCUGGAUACCCUAGAUCUCUCAGACACUUAGCCACCAACCCCGUAGCAUACACUAGCUGGUACAAGACCCCAACACAUAAGAGAAGAUGCACCUAACCCUCAAGAGACUUGAGGCUCCAGGGAGUGGGAGGGCUGGUGGGGUGGAGUGCUGAGGACAUCUUCUUGGAGACCACGGGUGGGGUUGGAGGGAGGAGGAACGGGAUGAGGAACUGCCAGAGGGCAGACAUGGAGGGAGACAAGGAAUGGGCUGUAAAAAAUGAUUAAAGAUAGUUUAAAACCAAACCAAAUCAAACCCCCCAAACCCAUUCCUAAAAUGGGUGUGGUGUUUUACAUUUUUAAUUUCCAGCCCUUGUUUAGUAGCACUGACUUCAAAGAGGGCAAGACAUGGAACACAUUGUAGCCUCCCAAGAGGUACCGGCCAGAAUUAAAAUAACCCUUGAUACUUCUAAAUACUAGUUUACAGCAGGCAGCUAAGAUGGGCCUCCUAGGACUGAACCACGUAAUUAGGUAGCCUUGCCCCCACCAGGACAGGAAACCACAACUGUUCCCACAUAGAAAGAACAGAGUAGAACACAAGUUUCCUGUGGUAUCUGCCACCCAAGAUGAAGGCAGGAGAAAGGAGCAAAGCCAUAUGUGCCCAGUUCUUUCAAUCUUGCUUAUCAUAUAACAGUGUAUCUUAGCAGAGCUGCCUAUACCCUUAUGGAUCUUUCUCGGCAAGAUUCGAAAUAACAAGCAUGGGAAAUGUGGAAAUCCAUUGUCUCGACUCACUCUUGCUUUGCAGAAUGAAUGGGAUUUUAUAAUAAUGAAAUUUACUAAAAGAAACAACUCUAUAUCAAUAGUCCUUAAUGUUUAAACACUGGAUCUUGAUGAAUGCCCUUCUGCUUUUAUUCUAGAAUUGACUGAAUGAGAUAUGAUGAUAUAUUUGGCUUUCCCUUCUCUUUCUUAAAUCUUUCAGUAAAUUUAAUUUGCAGACGUGAUUGGAUUGGUUCCAGGAGGGGGAGGGGAGAAGUGUGUACGCAUCUGUAAUGAUCUCUGACAGUGUGAUGUGGAGCAAUAGUUGUUUUUUUUUUUUUAUGACAGUAGCCAAAAUUACCAUAAUUAGGGAAAAUAUCCACAUCUUUCUAAACAGCGUUAACUGAUUCAAAAGGGACUUAAUGAGAAGUUACGAGGGGAAGAACAUUUUUGCCAUUGACGAUUAAACAUUAAUUAAAGUCAGAAGGCACUAGUCAAAUUGUCUUUGGUCUUCAGUCAUUUGGCAAGGCACAGAAAUUGGAGUCUGUAGAAUCUGCUGACGUUGCUGACUGUGACCCUCCAAAUGGGUUCUCUAAAUUUACAAGCAGUUUCCAUGUCUAAUUUUACUUCCUGCUAAAGACCUUGAUAAGAUCAUACUGCAGAAAUCCAGAGCUGAAGGCUUUUAAAUGCAAAGCAUUUUAGAAUGUGGUAUCUUAUUUAAAUAAUCUUUUUUUUUUUUUUUGGUGACAGGUCAGUAAAGGGAAUCUUAUAUGAAAUAUAGCAUGAUCCAUAUUAUGAAGAAAAACGUGCAGGGAUGAUGCCAGAAGAAAUGCAUCAGGUUAUUAGGAACAGAUUUUUAAAAAAGAAUUGAGUAUUGGAUGACUCUCCUGCAUCUUAUGUAUCUUCAGUUCAUAAACAGGAAAAAAAAAAUAAAGUAAGUUUCAACAUCCAAAAUGUUCUUUAUUCUCAUGGAAGAAACGAUCAGUAUCAUAAAGUUGUCCCUACUUAGGGUGGUGACAUUUUGAUUCUGCUGUUGACCCUAGAGUUUGGAAAAUGUGAUGAAAGGGAAAUAAACAAGCACACCUCCCAUAGAAAUCUUACAGAAUAUCCAGGGACAGUUUGUUAUGUAACCCAGGCUGACCUCCUGCUAUAGUGCUAUCCUGAAACGCUAUAUGUUCCAAAGUAGACAAGAGAGUGAGCUAGGAUGUGUGUUUUGUCUGUUUGUUUUGUUUUACUUUGUUUUGUCUAUGAUGUAGGGUGGUCACGUCACAUGUUUGCUUUAUUUUGCCUAUGACAUAGGGCAGUCAUGUCACGUGUUUAUUUUGUCUAUGAUGUAGUGAUGUGGGAUGGUCAUGUCACCUGUUUGCUUUGGCUCAUUUAUUUUGACAUCGCCCUUUCCAGUUUGCAUCCCCUUCCUAUCGAUCCGCCUCAGCCCACUCACCAUCCAUAAAAUGUAGCUGCCACCUGCCCAGUGACUUUCCACUUUCAUACCGAUUCACCAUUUUAUUCUUUUAGAACAUGUCAGCCCCCUUUCUGCCCAGAACUUAUGAUGAGCUCAGUUUGUCUCACUCUUAAAUCCCAUCUCUUCAGUUUAUCCUAUCACCAAGAACCCGCUGGAAUUCACUGGUAAUUUCAACCUCUGUCCAACUAUUUUUUGUGUUUACAUUUAGUAAUUACAUGUUAUCUUUCCUACUUAGCUUUCUCUCCUCUGUGUUUAACUCCACAUUAGUUAUUUCAUAUAAUUGGUACUGAAGGGUUUUUUUCCAUAAUUUAAAACACACAUUUUAAAGAUGCUAACCACAGCAUCUAUAACACAACUCCUAUACCUAAAGCUCAGGGGACAUCUCAGAAGAGGAGACAGAACAGUUUUAAGAGCCAGAAGACCCAGGGGAUUGGUAGAUAUACAGUGUCAUAUAGACAUGACAGGGAAGUUAUGCUAAUGGAAUUGAACAAUAUGGUUUCCUACACAAGACUUGCAUAAUGACACUAGCUGACAUGCCAACAUGAAUGAAGAAAAUCUCAGAAGGCCUCACCCUGAGAUGAUGAGCCACAGGGCAAUCAACAGCUACUCUCAAAGGGAGAGAAUAAGUCUUCUCUCAAAAUGAUUUCCCCAAUAGGUUAUCCAAUAUUAAGUGGUUAGCCUGAAACACGUAUACAUAUGAGCAAUACUAAAUUCAGACAGAGGAAUUGAACCUAUUGCCUUCAUUUCAAAAUUCAAUCUUGUGUCUCUGUACUCUCUCUCUCUCUCUCUCUCUCUCUCUCUCUCUCUCUCUCUCUGUGUGUGUGUGUGUGUGUGUGUGUGUGUGUGUCACGGUCAGUUAUUUAUAGAAUAGUUAUAGCCAGGUUGGCUUAUGUUAGGUCUGAAAUGGGACAUCUGCACUAAGACAUUUGCAGAGUAAUUUUUCUCUUAUUUUGAUUGGUUUUGUCUUAGAAUAGUGAGGCAUUCCUUGAUGCAUUUGUGUGAAUGUUUGUGAGUGAGUAUUCAUGUGUGUGCAUGUGUUGAGUGUCUGUAUCCACACAAAGCCAAGUGCCUCAGCCAUACAAGAAGAUCACCUUGACUUUGUCAAAUUGAUGUGAGUUAAAAGUGCAGAUAGCAAUAAUAAGGAAAAUAUAGUCAAUAACUUUUAACUUUGUGCUGGUGCUUUUCAUCAGGGCAAAGGAAGAGUGAAGAGGUUUGUAGAAGACAGCUGAUUAAACCUCCACAUGAGAAGGUGUGGAGCUACUGACCUCCAAAUAGCACCGAGACUCUUCUAAGAAAUAACCUUGCAAGAAAAGCCUUGGCUCAGACGAUGGAGAAUGGCAUAGAAUUCAUUCCUUCAAAUGACUCCAAAUGGCAGAAUCCUGGCACAUGCUCAGGCCAGACAAGUUAACUCUGGCUUCCCACCCCUGGCAUUCUUCUCAACGCUGUCACUAAACCCCAAGUCUAUCCUCUGCGUGGUCUCAAGGUGGUUUGACAUCGACGUGUCCCUGUAUUGCUCUAAAUUCCUAUGUCAUCAUUACAGUGGAAUAUGAUGGAAGAAACUAUAUGUAACUGGCAUGAGAGAUGGAUAAUGCUCAAAACCUGUAAGUCUCCCCCCGCCCCCAUGCCCCCAACACUUGAAGGAUAAAGUCCCUGAGCCACUGGUAGGGUUUCAAGCUGACUCGGCCCCUCAGUGGUGGUGGUGGGGUGUCACUGAGAUCCAGAGAAACUCUGUUUUCAUGGGGACCACUGGAAGGACUCUCCAACUAAAGUCGGUGGACUAUGGAUCUUGGUCUGCCACAUCUGUCUACUGGGCUGCACCUGGUCACUUCUUAAGGAAUUGCCACAAUUUUCAAGCAAAGAACAGAAACUGUCUAUGGAAGCUCACAGUGACUCAGAAGCAGGUACUGCUAGUGAUGAAAAUGUCCAAGUAGAGGAGGCAUGUGAACUGAUACAAAGGCAUAGUAACCCUGCCCUACAGCACCCAUGCCUGCGUCUCUUGGCAUCUUUCCCUUGGCGUCCUUUGAGAAACCACUUCUCUUCAUUUUGGGAUAUAUAAUCAAAAGGCAUUCAUCUGCUGACUUAAAGAAAGUGAAAAUAAGGGCCCUGCUGAGGAAGCCUGAGGGAUUUGGAACCCUGUCAAGCACACACUUGGGUACCUAUUGCAAUGGAUAGCAGUGCAAACCCCAGCAGUACAGUGCUGUUCAGAUGGGGAUGGAGCAUGAUAGUGUCCUGGCCUGAAAUACCCCUGUAUCUUUAACUAUCAGGAAGGAUUGCAGAGGUGGAAAGGCUGAGAUCUUGUCACAAAGGAGCAGAGCAGCUUAAUUCCACUGCCCAGCUACUGACCUCUGAAGGCUAUGUGCAGCUUUAAACUCCAUAAACAUGUUUGCAUCUGUUGCUCUGUGAUGAGGAUGUUUGCACAUCUCAGCAUGGUGGGAAAACUGAACAUGGUCUCAUGGAGAGUUUUGAGGACAACAGAGAGGAAAGGUAGGACAGAUCCACCACUCACCAUCUGGCUUUUGGGGGCAGUGACACCUAUUUAAAAAGUUGCAGGAUACUUUCACAUUUAGACAUUAAAUGACUUUUUUUCUCACAAACUUUCUUGGCACCACAUGGCAGCAGUGAACUUGAUUUAUGUACUUUCUUGCUGUAUUUGAGCUCAGUUGCUCAGGGAAGCUCCACAGGCCACGCUCCUCCCUGGUAUCCAGCAGUCUAUUCACUUGCAGUGAGAAUUAAGGAUCUGGUUAAGGAAGAGCUUCAAAAACCAAGCUCAUAUUCCUUGCUCUGGGGGAGAAACUGCACAGAGGAGGAGAGGACCUUCAUGGGGGGGGGUGUUUAACAAUUAUCCUUCCUUCUGCUCAUGGCUGACUUCAUCAACCAGAGAAGUUGUGUAUGCAUAUCUGAUGGAAGCUUUAAUUAUUGCUGCUCAUUACUCUUCGCUGUGAUCAUUCCCGUUGUCCCUGUGACUCUGCUUAGCCACGGAUUUUAAGGCAUCUCAGUGUUUCUGUUGGUGAAACAGUAACCUUGUUACCUCUGCCUUAAGAGUUUUGAUUUUCUACUUGCUGAGACUGUUGCUGUCUUCAUCUUCCCAUCUUAAAAGGCAGCUGUUAAAAGUUGCAACUGCCCAAAUAACAUGUGAAAUAAAAAUAAACGUAAUUCCUCAUGAUUUUUUGAUAAAACAGCAAUGCAAUCAACAGCAGAUACAUUUAAUAUCUGAAAGCACUGUGCUAUGUUGUGUGGACUAUGCCUCAAUUUCACUCUCACAACACAACUAGACAGAUAGCACAGUGUUAAUUACAUCUCUUUCUACAAAAGGUCACUUGUCAGAGUAUGGUCCAUGAAUGAAUCUGUGUGAGAAAUUUUGAGAACUUAGGAAAACUCCAAAGAAACAAGACAAAAGUCUUAUCAGUUUCUCUAUAACAUGGGCUGUCCUUGGAAUGUCCCUCCCAGUUGUAAUAAAUUAGGAUUUUUUUAUUCAGAUUACCCAUCAUUUUAUUAUUAUUUAGAUAAUGGUUCAAGGUAUAGGUUGUCCCCAUGACUGUAUACAACUUAAAUUCAUAUGACCUUAACCUUGCAACUGUAUACAACCUGAACUAAAGUGAACUGGGCUCAUGUGACCUUGCUUUGCCCUCAGAAUGCCCUCAGAAUAUGAACUGUCUGAUGCUCUGAAUAAAGUUUGAUACUGAGUGAGACUUUACCGUCCCUCAUUUUCUUUAGGCUCCACUGUUCCAGGUUCACACUGCCAAAGAGAAUAGCAAUAAACUUACAGUCUUAGAGAGGUAAUAACUUGUCCAGAUCAUGACAGAUGUUACCCAGAAUUGAAACUCAGAUUGCAUUUCAGGGGUAGCCUUUCUGGAUCCCUUCAGAACUUGUCUCCAUGUCGCUGAUAACAGGUUCCUGGCACCAUUGCAUCUUGCCAAAGCACACAGGACCAAGUGACCAUGAAUUGAACCCUCUGAAAGUGUGAGUCAAAAGAAAUCUUUCUUCCUUUACAUGGUGAGGCAGAUACUUUAGUUACAGUGAUAAAAAAUAACUAAUGUAUGCAAUCUUCCUGCAUCUGACCCAUUUCACCUAUACUGGCACUCAAACAGCUCAAUAACAAAACAUCAAAUAACCCAACUAGAAAAUAAAUUACAUAUAUUAUGGUUUCCAAUUUGUGUGUUUGUGGUUUUGGGGAAGUUGCUUUCAUUUGGUUCGGUACAGUGUUUGUGUGCAUGUGUGUGCAUGUAUAUGUGUUUCUCAUGCAUUUUCUUUUACUUUUUUGAUUUUUUGUUUUAUUCUUUUUUAUCAUUUUUCUGUUGUUUUUGUAAAGACAGGGGAAAAGGUGUAGAGUUGGAUGGAUACAGACAUGGGGAAGAUCUGGGAUUAGAUGAGGGAAGGGAAUUAGAUUAAUUAGGAACUAAUCAGAAUAUAUUGUAUGAAAAAAAAACUAAUUCCCAAUAAAACCACUUACUACUCUUUUAAAAUAUUAAAUAUAUAUGAAAAUAAGCUAGAGAUCUGAAUACAUAAAUCUCAAAAGAAACACACAUGGCUGUACAUGAAAAAAAUAAAAUCACUAACUACCAAAAAAUGCAAAUAAAAACCAUUGUAACUUAUCACCUAACCAUGUUAGAAUGGUUACCAAUAAAAAGGCAAAAAGCCAAAACAACCAACCAACCCCCUCCAAAAAAACUGGAAAAACAAAAACAUAAGUAUUAGUGAGGUUAUGUAUAAAGGGGGAUUCCUACAUACUACCAGUGUUUAUAUCUAAGCCUUAGCAUAGCAUAGCCAUAGUGACUCAAUGCAUGUAUUUAAUUUAUAUUAUAUGGCCAAUACGAAUAAACAAAUACGGGCUGGAGAGAUGGCUCAGUGGUUAAGAGCACUGACUGCUCUUCUGAAGUCCUGGGUUCAAAUCCCAGCAACCAUAUGGUGUCUCACAAGCAUCCAUAAUGAGAUCUGACGCCCUCUUCUGGUGCAUCUGAAGACAGCUACAGUGUACUUAGCUAUAAUAAAUAAUAAAUAAAUCUUUUUUUAAAAAAAAAUAAACAAAUACAGAAUUCGAAGGUUAAAUAAAAAUGAAUAUUCAAGUGGAGAUACUUGUUGAACAACUGUUAGGUGUUUCAACAUUCCCUCCAUCCAGCUUCUUCCUCAAGAACAGAUCUCUCAGUUCUCAUCACAGAGACUUCUAUUUGCAGUAGAUGGUGAUUCACACAGACACCCACAACUGGUGAAGGUGCAGAGAAUAAGGGAUGUUCAGACUUAAUGGCUGUUUAUAUCAUAUCCUUUCUUCCCAAGGCUCAGGGAUCAUUGAAAAGGAGGGGUGGAAAGAGGGUAAGAACUAGAGGUGGCGAGAUCUUCAAGAAAACUGUUUUCAGAACACAACAGGGUAUUUGAACAUAUGGAUUCACAGUGGUUGGGAUAGCACACACAAGACCUUAGAAAGCUCAAGCCAAAGUCUCAGCAUAAAGAGAGGAGAUGGGCAUGAAGUCCCACAUCUAGUGCAGGAGCUGUUGGUCGUCAACAGCUGCCAGGAGAUGGAGAGCUGGUUUUUAAAAGAACGUGACCUCUGGUAAGUCAAUCACAUUCCAAUAAAGGCCACACAUCCAAGAGUAUAUGGCAGCAAAAUUUGGCUCAAUUAGAAUUUUUUUUUAAUAACAAUACAGAGUUGGACAGGUAAGGAAGUGGAGUAGAUCUGGGAGGAGUUGGGGUAGUGGAAUGAAUAUGACAAAAAUUUUUCCAAAAAUCAAUAAAAAAGAAUUUUAACAUAAUCUAUCUCGGCAUCAAACCAACUUCCUGUCACAUGAUCAUGAAGUUCACACUGUCCACACAGCAAAACAAUUAUUGUUUGUAGCCUUACCUUAAAAGCUAGUAUAAUAUAAUAUAUAUGUGUUAUAAUAUAUUACACAUAUUAUAUUACAUAUGCUUAAGUUUACAUCAUAUACUAUGUUGUAUAUACACACACACAUGUAUUUAAGUUUACAUUAUAUUAUAUAAUAUAUAUAUAUAUAAAACAAUUGAAGUUACACCAAUUGAGAUACAACUAUGUAACUAACCCCCAGUGCUAAGCAUGGGAAAGCUCCUUUUGAGUUGCUGGUCAGGGGGACCUAAGAGACAAACUCCCCAAACAAUACAAGCUAUGGAAAUUGCCCUUGCUACUUUCCAGGAAGGAAAUAAGAUCCUUCUGCUGUAGACAACACACACUUCAGACACUGGGUUUGAGCGCCCUGUGUCUGACCUGGAAGCCUCCUCACUGAGGGCUCUCGUAGUUUGAAAGGAGUUAUGCAAUCUGCCAACAGUCGCUGCAUUUGUUUCCUGGGAGUUACUAACAAGCAACUAAUUAAAUUUGAAGCCUAAUGACACAAAAAUGUCCACAGACUACCUAUUCUUGAGUACUUUCAAUUAAAAAUACUUUAUAACUAUAUAAAAAUUUGAGCUUCAGAUCAGUGUUAAAGUACUUACCACUAGCAUUUUAUUUCAUUACAUAGUCCAUAUAUGUGUGUGUGUGUGUAUGCAUGCAUGCACAGAGAGCAGAACUCUAAAGUACUACUGAGACAUAGCAAAGCCGGGAUAUGUUAGCUGGGUCAGGGCACACUGGCUGUAUAAUGAUACGCUCACGCCCCUUGAAUUACAAGGAGCUAUUCACAAGCGCCCCAGGAUAAAAGUGUCCUCUAUGGCAGGUCAAAAUGUAAUUUUCCUCAGCAUCCCUACAGAAUAGUAUGAUUGAUUCCUGAAUGGACUCGAACAAAAAUAUUUCUAAUCUAAUCCUUAGCCUUCAGUGACAGCAACCCUUAAGCCCCCUUUCACAAGAUCUACAUUGUCACCCCAUCCAUCUCCUUACUCAUUCUUCUUCUGGCAUCCUCACGGGGCAGUCAAGAGUGAACAAAGUACAUUUUUCCCCCCAGAGAUGAGAACUGUAGACAAACACUGCUGUACAGCCUGGGCCACGCUUCUUGCUCUGUGAGCAUGGAGAAUCUUAAGAUUGCAGUCUGAGAUACAAUUCAGAUGGAAUAAAUUACUCACUACAAAUUAUCGCAUACUCUUCUCUUUCAGCAUUUACCCUGUGGUUAAUACUGAAACAAUAGCACAUUUGCAUUUGAAGUGCUCAUAAUUAAUUUUCUCUCAAUUUCCUUCUCAGUGUCUUUGUGUUCAGCGGAAUGUUGGCUUUAGAAGUUGAUUGGCAGGGUGAAGCAACAGAAGAAUUGUGAAAACAAAUUGCGACCUACAUGCGAUUAGGUAGGAACUGAUAGAGUAUUCUCUGUGCAAAAUGCUAAGUACAUCACUAAGACCCAGGUAGUAUAGGGCCCAUAAUGAUUGGUUUAAAUAAUGGGCAUAGAGCCUUACAAAUACUCAUGCAUAAACCAUGCCUUUCUUUCUGUAAGUUUGGUAAUAAAGCGAAAAGAUGAAGUCUGUUAUCCUGCACAUCUAUCAGUUUCACAUCAAUUUUAGGAUUUUCAGUGUGUAUAUGUAUCCAAAUCAAACAGCCUUGUGUUGAAUUUGCUACAUGGUUCUUAAAAGUAUUGGUAAAGUUUGCACCUAUUUCAGAAUAUUUGACACAUUUUGUUGUGUUCAGGCAACCUUAUGAUUCAUUGGUAUUAAUCAAAGGCUUCAAAGUUUGAGAUGUGCAUAAAAUGGCUAACUGCUCUAAAAAUUUGGGCCUUCUGUAGAAAAGUGAAAUUAGCAUUAUAAGUGUGGUCAAGUAGGGUUAAGGAAAAAAAAAGAUGUAUGGGGCCCGGGUUGGGGAGAUGGAUUCAUUGGUAAAGUACUUGCUGCAGAAGUAUGAGAACCUGAGUUCAGUUCCUCUGUUGGAAGCUGGAUGUGUCCACCAUGCCUAGGAUCCCUACAGUAGUGAGAUGGAAACAAGAGGAUCUGGGGGCUUGUUGGGCAGCCAAUCUAGUUAAAUUGGUGAGCUCCAGCUUCAAUAAGAGAUCCUGUCCCAAAAAUAGGAUGGAUGAUAAUUGAGGAAGGCAUUUGACAUUGACUUCUGGUACACACACACACACACACACACACACACAGAGAGAGAGAGAGAGAGAGAGAGAGAGAGAGAGAGAGAGAGAGAGAUACACAAAAUCCAGAGAAGUGGGGUUUACUCUGGAGCAGGGAUCAAGCAAUCUCUCGUACAGGGAAGAAUAGGCAUGAUCGGAAUUGUAACUCGUGAGGCAGCUACUCCUACCAGGGUACAGAGUGAACAUGGUUGCUAUUUGUGGCUUACACAGUCCUUAUUUUGUGAAUACUAAGAUGAACACUCAGAGUGGUCUUCUUUUAUGUUUUAAUCUACCACAGACACAGAAAGGCCCUUUUUAUUUUUUUUAUUACAUCAUCUAUGAAACUGUGUAUAUAAGAGGCUGCCAAGGCCCAGUGUUAGUCCCAGAUCCAUGGACCUUUAUAUGUUAAUGCUUUUUCUUCUGAAUUGGGUAAGUGAUCUGUUGUAAAAUAUCCAGUCAUUUGAGGGGCUGGAGAGAUGGCUCAGCGGUUAAGAGCACUGACUGCUCUUCUGGAGGUCCUGAGUUCAAGUCCCAGCAGCCACAUGGUGGCUCAUAACCAUCUGUAAUGAGAUCUGAUGCCCUCUUCUGGUGUGUCUGAAGACAGCUGCAGUGUACAUAAAUAAAUAAAUAAAUAAAUAAAUAAAUAAAUAAAUAAAUAAAUAAAUCUUUUAAAAAAAUCAUCAUUUGAAUUCUGAAACUAACCAGAGAUCCAUAAAAACAUUAUUAUAAUUCUGGUAGGAGAUACAAUUAAAUUAAACUUAAAUUUUAAAAAAAAAUGGAAAGAUGCCAACCUCCACAGGGGUAACAUGUAGACUGCAUUCUUCAUUCAAAGUCUAGAUGCUAAAUGUCUAUUUUUCCUGUUUGUUUGUUUGUUUUUGUUGUAGGGUCUCACAUUGGCUUGAAUUCACUCUGUGUAGCUUAGGCUAUUCACCAACUCAAAUCUUCCAUCAUUAACCUCCUGAGUGCAGGAGCCACCAUGCCUGGCUGGAAAAUGUUGUGAACAAAACUGACCCCACAGACAUAGUUCAUUACAUUCAUGAUACAAGACUCCUGGAGAAAAUUUUGAUUGCAAACUAUAAAUUCUUUUAUAAUCAAAGUCCAUUACAAAGAAUGAGAGAAAGAUAGCAAGUGCUCCCUAAAAGGACUCAAGAGAGUGUUUUAGGGAAGCAGACAUGCAGCCUUACCUUUCUAGGCUUCUCACAAUGACUGGUCAUGGGCUGGGUAUAUAUGCUAUUGGUAGAGGGUUUGCCUAACAUCCAGGAGGCCCUGGUUCAAUACUUAGUACCGCAAACAUAGAAAUGAUUAAGGAAUUAAUAAACACAUAAUGGCUAACUGGUUUCCACAAAAUCCUCAGAGUCCAGCAACUGAAGUGAGGGUACUCAGUCGUCUUUGGGCUGCCUGAGCCCUGUAGCUGCUGGGCCUCCUGACAUUAAGAAUUUGGAAGUCAUCGAAUUGCCCCUGAUAUUAUCAGUACGUGUACAUGCAUCUAUUGUAUGAUCCCUAUAGUGCUCUGAAGCAGCAGCUGAGAUUGUGUUACUUCCUGUGAAAUGUGUGCAAAUUAUACAUCACUGCCUCAGAGCCAAAAUAUUUUUAUUUGUGAUGGAAUGGCAUUGUAUAUUCAACUGAAAUAUUAACCAUUGUGUGUGGUAUCAGAAAGUCUGAUGACCCCAAUUUAAAGCAAUUGUUAAGAAAAAAAAUGUAUUAAAUUUUUGGUUUUAUAAUCCUAAGAAGAAUUCUGCAUUUUAGGGAAAUGUAAAGGUGAAUAGGGUUGUGCACACCUAUCAGCACAGCACUUGAGAGACAGAGGCAAGACAAUCACCACAACUCUUGUCUACAUAGAGAGUACCAGGGCAAUGAGGGCUAUCUAUCAAAACCCUGCUGCAAACCAAGCAACCUGAUGGAUUGGUCAAGGCAGUUAUAAAAGCAAUCCCUACUUCUCGGAUGCGUUGCUCAUUAUUUACAUCUCAGGCACCAUUGCUCCUGGACUAAGUUCUCAAUUAACAAUCAAUGACAAUGGAAGUGUCUGCAGGAAUCACCAUUACUCUUAAAGACAGAGAAACAAUGAGAUGAGCAAGGGUAUAGCCUGGGGUGACAGCAGAAAUGCUAUGUUUAAGGUUUCUCAAUGGAUAAAUUGUUCAUGCUUGUAAUAAUUCACUGCAAUAACUAACUCACCAAAAAUUACAUAUAACUAGAAUGGCCCAAUCCUUUAUAUUCAUUGAAUGUGGAAAUCAAAUACUCUGACUACUAAGAAAACUGCAUUGUCAACUGUAAAAUGUAUAUCACCCUUUGUGUCAUGUGCAUCUCCACCGUCUGGACCCAACAGCUGCUCUGGGUAAAAAUGUUGACCCUAUCUUUCUGAUGUACAGGCAGUGGAAAGGAUAUUGUUUGAAGAGGAGAUACAGGCUGGACAAUAGCUUAGUCUGUAAAGUACUUGUUUGUGCUCUCCCCCAGCCUUGAGCAGGCUGGCUCAGACCUGGCUUGCCACAGCCCCCUAGCCCACCUAGGGUGGAGUCUUCCAACCUAGGUAAAGUCUAUUGUUCUGCCACAUCUGCGGUUUCCUCCGAGAUGCCACAACCUGGUUAGAGGCUGAACCUGUUCUCCUGAAGUGGUGGGGGAAUGGGCUUCCCCCCUUUUAAGUUCAGACUCAAAAGAUAAACUUUGGCCCUUGAUCAGUAACUUGUCUUGGUCUCUUUCUUCUUUCAUUCUUUCUCUCAUACAGCCCCAGCCUUCCUCUCGGGAACCCAGUUCAUGUAGCCACUGGUGGCUACACUUGCUUCAUAAGGAUGAGGGGUCAAGUUGAAUUCACAGGAUCUACAUUAAAAACACCAGGAGUGAUGCUGCAUAUUUAUAAUUCCAGGACAUGGCAGAUAGAGAUGAGUAGACCUCUGGGACUGGCUAGCCAGCCAGCCCUGUCUCCUGUUGUUUCAGGCCUGAGAAAAUACUCUGUCUCAAAAAUCAAAAAGGAUAAUUGUCCCUCUAGCUUCUACAUAUACAUGCACAAUACAGUCAUUGACCUCCCAAAACACACAUGCACCCAUACACAUGAACACUCACAAGGACAUGCACACACACACACACACACACACACACACACACACACACACACAAAAGGGAAGACAUUCAGACUGUUAGCACAGCCUUUAAGGGAUGGUUCCACUUUUGUUAAUGUGAAGAGCACCAAUUUCAACCAAUUAGAACUUGUGUGGACACUUAGAAAACCUCUUUAAAGGCUCCAUUAGAAUUUCUAAUGUCUUUUUUUCUGAGUAGUAUGGAAAAAUGCUUAGUGGAAUUACCUUUACAAAAGAAUUAAUUUAUUGUACCCUGAGGAUGUUAUAUUUGGUGAUUUAGCAGAAUGAAUCUGAACUAAUAAAGUACAUUUACGGAGGCUAAGGAAAUUUUCUAGUAGAGAGCUACUUAGUCACUUGGAACAAAUGAAAGUGGAGGUCUAAAGAUUAAAGAAUAGCUGUAAUGUUUAAAAGCUGUUAUUGUGUCUAUAGAAAGAUCGCUCAACAGCGACUGAAAUAUGAAGCAGUGUUCCUGGGUCAACAAAACCCACAAACCUCUACAGUAUGCUUAUGACACAAAAAUCUAAUAAAGCAACUGAGCAGAGAGCUCAGGUUCCAGGAAAAAGUUCAGACAGGAGAGCAGAACACACAG